This 243-nucleotide ribosomal RNA is filed under the name uncultured bacterium. Its description in RNAcentral is "partial 16S ribosomal RNA". It matches the Rfam family "Bacterial small subunit ribosomal RNA", at positions 111 to 354 of the family's 1533-position model. The record is from RNAcentral.
UAACGCGUGAGGAACCUGCCUUCCAGAGGGGGACAACAGUUGGAAACGACUGCUAAUACCGCAUGACACAUUUGAAUCGCAUGGUUUGAAUGUCAAAGAUUUAUCGCUGGAAGAUGGCCUCGCGUCUGAUUAGCUAGUUGGUAGGGUAACGGCCUACCAAGGCGACGAUCAGUAGCCGGACUGAGAGGUUGACCGGCCACAUUGGGACUGAGAUACGGCCCAGACUCCUACGGGAGGCAGCAG